RNAcentral lists this ribosomal RNA (429 nucleotides) under Bacteroidota bacterium. RNAcentral describes it as "Bacteroidetes bacterium partial 16S ribosomal RNA". It matches the Rfam family "Bacterial small subunit ribosomal RNA", at positions 355 to 776 of the family's 1533-position model. Lineage: Bacteria; Pseudomonadati; Bacteroidota. The record is from RNAcentral.
UAGGGAAUCUUCCGCAAUGGACGCAAGUCUGACGGAGCAACGCCGCGUGAGUGAAGAAGGAUUUCGGUUCGUAAAACUCUGUUGUUAGAGAAGAACAGCGCAUAGAGUAACUGUUAUGCGUGUGACGGUAUCUAACCAGAAAGCCACGGCUAACUACGUGCCAGCAGCCGCGGUAAUACGUAGGUGGCAAGCGUUGUCCGGAUUUAUUGGGCGUAAAGCGAGCGCAGGCGGUCAAUUAAGUCUGAUGUGAAAGCCCCCGGCUCAACCGGGGAGGGUCAUUGGAAACUGGUAGACUUGAGUGCAGAAGAGGAGAGUGGAAUUCCAUGUGUAGCGGUGAAAUGCGUAGAUAUAUGGAGGAACACCAGUGGCGAAGGCGACUCUCUGGUCUGUAACUAACGCUGAGGCUCGAAAGCGUGGGUAGCAAACAGG